GAUGGCUUUCUUACUCGCUCCAUAUCCUGAGGACCACUCUUGGAAUUAUUGAUUUUCCGGCUGCGAGGAGGUAUGUUAAGGUAUGACGACAAUUGUGCUGAAUGAGACUUGAUCGAUUUUCGUUAGCAUUUUGUAACUCCCUCCAUUACCAAAUGUAACUGAGUGGAACACGAUUAACAAUGGUAGACCCUGUUAAUAUUGGCUAAUGUUUAUUUUCACCUCCCACCAAUCUAAACAGGAUUCAAGUAACUCUUUAUUAUUCUCAUACUUCAAGUUUAGUCCAUUAGGCACACUCUGCAACUUGCCAACAGCCACCCUAUCAAUAUUCUUGGAUUCUGUAGUGAUUAUGACUUGGCUUGCUCAUGCUUUGUAUUUUGCAGGUUUUGGAGGUGAAAUGACUAGCCAAGAACACAUGAAGUGGGUUGGACAAAACACACAAACAAAUGGCCAAAUUGGAUUUUUGAAGCAUCAUGGACAAAUGGCAAACUUCAGGAUCAAGAUUGAAUUUUAGAUUAGAAAUAGGAUCGGGACCUAUGGAUUUUAGGAGUUUGGGGAUUGGGUUGACUUUGGUCAACUUUGACCGAAAAGUAAACUGUUGACCAAAGUCAACAUGUGGUCAAACUUCCAUAUUUUUUUUUGUAAUUUUCUCAAUGCUUGGACAUUUGUGAUGAAUAUGUAAUGGCAAUUGAAGUUACAUGAAUGAAAUGAACGGUUUACAUAUAGAAGUGAUCCUUGUAUGACCUUGGGUGAACUGAAUUUGAAAUGAAUGAAUUUGAUGAC
RNAcentral lists this long non-coding RNA (780 nucleotides) under Lathyrus oleraceus (garden pea). Its description in RNAcentral is "Pisum sativum (pea) long non-coding RNA (PSAT_LNC038651)". Lineage: Eukaryota; Viridiplantae; Streptophyta; Magnoliopsida; Fabales; Fabaceae. The record is from RNAcentral.